This 716-nucleotide long non-coding RNA is filed under the name Marmota monax (woodchuck). Lineage: Eukaryota; Metazoa; Chordata; Mammalia; Rodentia; Sciuridae. The record is from RNAcentral.
GUAGGACGGACCCUAGAGGUCACACACGUCCCCGAAUUCCUGGAGGACUCCUGGCGACGAGAGACGGAGAGGUCCUCACCGGACCCCCCUCGGUCGCACCCGGCACCUCCACCUGCCUAACCUGUGGCCCAUCUGCCACCAUCUGUGCCUAUAGGCUCUGCCCCCGCCUGCCCUACAAUGUGUGCUCUCUAGGGCCCUCAAGAGGGGACCGGGGUUGGCCUCUUUGCCCCACCCCAUGCUGGCCAGAGUGUAGGAAGCCAUAAUGCAGCUGUCAGCACAAUACCUGUAACAUGAUGCUGAAACUCUCCCACCCUCCUCCCCUUCCUUCCCCUUCCCCAGAUUUGUGAAGUGUCAAGACUCAUCAGGAAUCUUGCCUUACAGCCCUCACCCCCCAAAUCAGGCAUAGCCAUAGUCAAGCCGAGCAGGUUUCUUAAGGAGCCGUCUGGGGUGUUGAUGACGCUGCUGAACAAGUUUGGUGACUGUUCUAAGCACAACCAGAUUGACACUGUUCCCACAGCCCCAUCCCCUCCCCCAGUAGGUAGGAUGCAAGGAGCCUAUAUCCUUUGCCCCAAGCGCUGAGGGAUGGAGCUGGCUCUGCACAACGCCAUCUUCCUUAGAAGACCUAAAGGAAACCAGGCCAGGUGUGGGAAAAUCAGCUGAGCCCAGGGCUGGGGGCUGCUUGUCUGCGACCUUUUAUAACCAAAAUAAAGAUUCCC